GAGCCAAGAGCCCUGAGCAUGUUCUUCCUUCACUCAUGACAGGUGGGGACCGUAUCUGAGUGAAUGCAUCACUCUCUGGGGUGAGCUCCUUGGCCUGGCCAUGAGACAUCUGGAAAGUGGCCUAUUGCCACUACCCAGAUUUUGUAUGAACAAAGCCUCAUUUCUGUGCAAGACCCAGCACAAACAACCCAACUCAAGGCCUUCCUCCCUUAACUUACUCUGACAUCCCUGGAUGCUCACCCUACUGAGUCCCAGUGUCCAUACAUGAUUCAACCAGCCAUAUAGCCAACAAGUGUUCCCUGAGUACUGCAUGCCAAGCACUGUCCUAGGGGCUGAAGAAGCAGAAGGGAAAAGCAACAGAGUUCUUCUCACAAAACUUACAGGCAAUGGGGAUACGCACUCUACUACUGCUCUAACUACUGAACUACCAUCAAGUAUUUGGGUGGUAAUAAAUAUUAUAAAUGCAGAUAUAACAGGGGAAGAGGACAGUCACCAUGGGGGGACUUGUGGAUAAGGUGACAUGUGGGCAGGGGCCUGGAUAAAAUACUGGGUCAAGGAAUGUACAUAUUUGAGGAAAGCAGGUGAGGGGCGGGGGUGGAGAAAGCUCAGUGGCCCUGAGCUAUGAGGAUGCUCAGCAUAUUGGGGGAACAGCAAGGAGGCCCGUGUGUGGGAAUGGUGUUAGCUAGUGAGGGAGCAGGUGGGAAGUAAGGUCAGAGGGUAGGUAAAGGAGGGAGGAGAGAUGGGUAGAUCAUGUAAAGGCCCUGGAGAGAACUUCAGGUUUCAUUCCCUGUGAUUUGAGAAGCCAUGAAGGAAUAACAUGAUCUGACAUAUAUUUUUUUUUUUUAGAUUACCCUGGCUGGCUGUGGGUGAAAAGGUUGGUAAGAAAGACAUAUUAAGCCAGGCACGGUGGCACAUGCCUAUAAUCCCAACGGCUCAGGAGGCUGAGGCAGGAGGAUCAAGAGUUCAAAGACAGUCUCAGCAACUUUGUGAAGCCUUAAGCAACUCAGUGAGACCCUGUCUCUAAAUAAAAUACAAAAAGAGCUGGGAAAGUGGCUCAGUAGUUGAGCACUCCUGAGUUCAAUCCCCAGUACCAAAAUAAAACAAAACAAAACCAGAGGGACAUGUUAGAAGAUGACCAGGAGACUACUGCAACAACCCAAGCAAAGGAUAAUAGAGUCUGAGAUUAGGGCAUCUAUGGGGAGAAGCAACUGAAUUCUGUAUAUAAGAUAGAAGAUAUGACUAACAGGGUUUGCUUUUGAGCCAGAUAUGGAGCUGAAGAGAAAGACACACAGAGAAAAUAAAGAUUCUGAGGCAAAGGUCCCCUUAGGAGGGGGCCAGGCUCCUUCUGGGUCUGAUGCAUGUGAGGUUGGCAAAGCACCUCCUUAGACACUGUUCCUUCUAGUCUUCAACACCCCAAGAAUAAUCCCAUGUUGUGAACUGACCCAAAGCACACAAGAUAAGUGGCCCAGACGUCCCAAGUGAGUCCAUGCUCUGUGCAGUAAGUUCCACCUUCCCAGGCCCCUACUGGUUCUUCUUCUGCAUACUUCUGCCCUUGUUCCCUCUAGGGUCCCAUCCUACCUUCACUCAGUGCACAGGGGCUGAGGGGGCAGUUUCUGGCCAGGGUUAGUGGUCUUCCAGAACUAUGUUUCAUGUCUAGCCUCCCUAUUCCUAAAUGAGAGCAUCCCCACGUAGUAGGAGGGACAGCUGAGGCUCGACACCCACUCUCUGCACCUGACAUUCCUCCUCCCUGUGGAACCCAGGUGGUUGACCCUGAUGCCUGGAAAGCCCUCAGGGGGCCUUCUGUAGAUCUUUCCCAGACUUCAUGCAGCCUGACCCACUAGGAAGCAAGCAGCCCACUCCCCGAUGCAGUCCUGUAGCCACCUCAAUUUGGAGACCCACCUUAAUAAGUUGUGGAGUUUCUGUGAAGAGUUCCUACAGGUACCAUGAAUUCAGAGAACUCUUACAACUCUAAUUGUCCCAAUUUUACAGAGGAGGAGACUUAGAUCUUAGAGGAGUCAAUAAAGUGCCCAAGAGUGCAGAGCUGAGCCAGGCCAGCUUCAGGGCCCGUGAUCACUGCUGAUGAGGUGGGGUAGAGGGAACAUCAAGGGUUAAGGACAACCCCAACCAUUCUCCUGCGAUGACAGUGUAAUAGCCCUACAGUCUCUUGUCCUCAAAUGCGUGUUUCCCAAGUAUAGUCACGGACUCUAUCUUGGGAUUCCCAGUGACCAGCACAGAACCUGGCCAAUGAGAACGAAUGACUAGACAUUAAUAUCAGGUGCCUCUGUAAGCACUUUGCAUAUAUUAACUCAUUUAAUUCUCAAGACAACCCCAUGAGGAUAAUGCCAUUAUGAUCCCCAUACUACAAAGGAGGAAGACGGAUCCCAGAAAGUGUAAGUAAUUCGUCCAAAGUCACACAGGCCACAGCACUAACAAGUGGUGGAGCUGGGAUUGGAACCCAGGUGGCUCUUAACCAUCUGUUAAUUGCCUCUCUGGGUUGCUGGUGCUGGUGAAGGCUUGAGAAAUGAAUGAAAGAAAACUCACUGAGGGUCUGCUAUAUGCCUGCCAGAAAUAAAAAUACACUUUCUAUUUUCAAGUUGCUCAUAAUCUUGGGAGGAGAAGAGAGAGGAGGUAGACAAUUCCAGGGCCAGUGGUGAGACUAAUGAUGGCAGGAAGACAAAGUGAUUUGCAGACCAGGUGAGACUUAGCCAGUUGGGGAGGCAGGAGCCGAUGAAGAGCAGUGCAAGCAAUGGGAGCAGCCUGUGCAAAGGCACUGAAGAGGCAAAGGGCUCUUUGAGCUCCUAGGCUCAAAGAACAGGCAGGAGCCAGAAAGACCAGCCUGAAGGGGCGUGGGAGCCUGUGGGAGCACUGAAGAGGGGUACUGAAGAGGAGAAGUUGCAAGAGGAGGACACUGUAUAUUGUUUUGCAAGCGUGCACACACACACCUACACACACCUCUGCCUCCUGCCUUCCUCAGAAUCUGGGAAGCGCUACAUAAUCUUUUUCUAAUUAUGAAGCAGACUCUAUAGCAGAAAUCUAAUUACAAAUCACCUAAAAGUUGUUCCACACUGGAAUCCAUGCAUUAUGCAUUCCCUGAGUUAUGCACCCAGCUCCUUCUGGAGGGGAGGGAGAGGCAGUUCUGCUCUCUAGCCACUGAGGUUCCAAGGACAGCCCGCUUGAGUUUCCAGGGUCUUGUUCCCAUGCCCCAGGAGCCAGUCUCCAUGCGAGAGCUUUGAAAAUUGCAAACUUGGAAGAGCCGCCCUGAGGAGAGAGCAAUACAACAGACUUGACUGAGGAUGCUGUGGCCUCUGGAAGCAUUAGGCCUGUCUGUGGUCAGGUCCUGAGUACCCAGCGCCCACAUCUGCUUCCUCACAGAGGCCAACCUGCUCCCAGGGCCAGAAGAUCAGCCUCUUCUGCCCGGGGUCCUCCUCCUGCGGCCUGCAAAUCUAACCUGGGUUUGGGAGACCCAAGGCAGCCUGGGGACUGGUGGUGCCGGGUUCUGGACAGGCCUGGCGGCUGGACUGGGGAGGGGCCGGGCCCGGUGGCUGUGGGGGAGGGUGCUGGAGACGGAGCCAGAUCGUUUUCUUCCCCCUUGGGUUUGAACGCUGGAACACAA
RNAcentral lists this long non-coding RNA (3613 nucleotides) under Marmota monax (woodchuck). The record is from RNAcentral. Lineage: Eukaryota; Metazoa; Chordata; Mammalia; Rodentia; Sciuridae.